AGAUGACUUACUCUAUAUUCUUU
Molecule: microRNA, 23 nt
Filed under: Caenorhabditis elegans
Lineage: Eukaryota; Metazoa; Nematoda; Chromadorea; Rhabditida; Rhabditidae
Source: RNAcentral